AACGAACGCUGGCGGCAUGCCUAACACAUGCAAGUCGAACGAGACCUUCGGGUCUAGUGGCGCACGGGUGCGUAACGCGUGGGAACCUGCCCUUAGGUUCGGAAUAACUCCCCGAAAGGGGUGCUAAUACCGGAUAAUGUCUUCGGACCAAAGAUUUAUCGCCUUUGGAUGGGCCCGCGUUGGAUUAGCUAGUUGGUAGGGUAAAAGCCUACCAAGGCGACGAUCCAUAGCUGGUCUGAGAGGAUGAUCAGCCACACUGGGACUGAGACACGGCCCAGACUCCUACGGGAGGCAGCAGUGGGGAAUAUUGGACAAUGGGCGAAAGCCUGAUCCAGCAAUGCCGCGUGAGUGAUGAAGGCCUUAGGGUUGUAAAGCUAUUUUACCCGGGAUGAUAAUGACAGUACCGGGAGAAUAAGCUCCGGCUAACUCCGUG
RNAcentral lists this ribosomal RNA (433 nucleotides) under uncultured bacterium. Its description in RNAcentral is "partial 16S ribosomal RNA". It matches the Rfam family "Bacterial small subunit ribosomal RNA", at positions 29 to 507 of the family's 1533-position model. The record is from RNAcentral.